This 333-nucleotide ribosomal RNA is filed under the name Triticum aestivum (bread wheat). RNAcentral describes it as "partial small subunit ribosomal RNA". The record is from RNAcentral. Lineage: Eukaryota; Viridiplantae; Streptophyta; Magnoliopsida; Poales; Poaceae.
AUGCCGACGAAGAUCGGCGCCCCGAGCCCCGACCCCAACCAGUGGAGACCGGCGCCCCAUGCCGCCGUCCUCGACCCUCCGUCAGUCGCUCCACUGCCCACGACACGGCCGUCCGCCGCCGGUGACGACCGCCGCAUCGAGGCGCGCGGCGCGCCCCUGACCGAUGAAGAUCAACACCUCGAGCCAAGGCCCCAACCAGUUGAGACUGGCGCCCCAACCAGUUCAAAAAAGACAAUUGAAGAAUUUGGGGACAAGGUGAAGGGAAAGCACAAGGUCCAUGGUGGUGCCGAAAUUGAUUUGUUUGAUGUCAAGUACUAUGUUAUCAACUACUAA